Momordica charantia (bitter melon) is the source of this 2919-nucleotide long non-coding RNA. RefSeq lists it as uncharacterized. Lineage: Eukaryota; Viridiplantae; Streptophyta; Magnoliopsida; Cucurbitales; Cucurbitaceae. The record is from RefSeq and is a predicted model, not a curated record.
CCACAGCAAAAAAUGGCUUGGCUGAGACACACCAUUGGCUAAUUUGGACGUUCAUCCUGCUCAGGAAUGCUGAAGCUGGGAGAGAACAGCAGAAGUCGUUCAUCAAAAACAAUGCACACAGCUAAAUCUUCGUGCAGAUUACUCUUUCAAGAAAUUUCUUUUCCAUGUCCUUCACGUGUGUGAACUAAGUUAUGAGUUUUUCUUAAUUCAAGAUUGCCAAGAGCAAAGAAACUUUUCUCAGUGUUCCAAUUUAUAGAUUGCAUAUAAAAGGUUUCUUUUUACUUCUAGGUAUAUAUUUUGAUAACCAACGCAUCAGAAAUCCUACUCUUUGCAUUAUGUUCAUGGCCCAUCUCUAUUAAUCCUUAGGUAGCCUUUGCCCACCCAAGACCAAUUCCAAGAAACCACGAGGGGUUUAAACUAUUAACUUUUCGACUCGGGGACUUGAACAUAAGACCUUGGAGGAUGUCUCCUAACAUUCCGAGCCCUUACCAUCGAAGCCACCCUAGGGGUCUUUUUCUGUUUGUUUUAUCUUUGAAUUGCCAUUUAGAUAAUUGGGAGUAAACUAAUCAACCAUAUUCUGUGAAAAAUGGUUUAUAUUCUUUGAUUUGUAGUUAUAGCAAUUAACUAUUCCCAAGAAUAAGUUAUUGUGUGUCUGCGUGAACUUAUAUCUGAUUUAACAAUAGCUGCAGAUAAUGCAUCAAAGAUUGGAAUACUAAAGUAAACCAUUUUGUGAUUAAUUGGAAUAUCUAUGACAUAUUUCUAACUAUUAUUUCCUUUAAUCUCACUUUCCUGCUUGGAUACUUAGUUCCUCGAAUAUCUUUUAUUGUCCUUUCCUCUUCUUUUCCUCCUCCUUCCCAACGCAUUACUUGUCGGCAUAUAAAGCGAUGAGAUUACAUUACAAGAUAGUGCAUGCAAGCAUAUUCGUUUGCUUCAAAGCUUUCUCUUUCUCUCUCUCUCUUUUAAUAGGAUUGAAGUAUGGGCUGUGGUACACUUUUUACGUUAUUACCAUUUCCUGCGUGAGCUUUUUGUUAGUAACAUCAUUUAUCUCGUUUUGUCACCAGAGAUUUUGAAACUGUAGGAUAAGCUUUCGAUAUCCUACUUGUGUUAGCACAUUUCAUCCCUUUUGAAAACAAGACUGCCAAAUUUGUUGUCACCAUCAUCUGAUAUCGAACUGGGACUUUUUAGUGCUUGAUGGGUUUUCAAUUUUGAUCUUUGAUCUACUCAUUUUCAUGCUGUUGAAUGAAAAAAAAAAUUGUACUGUUGACAGUCUGAGACUCGAGUCCCAUCGAUUAGGAGAGAUGUGGAUGUCUUUUCAUCAUGGAUUUUUCUCAAAAUGAAGUCUUUCAGAAGAGAGAGAAGCUUUCUUGUAUGGUUAAUAAACAUCAAUAUAAAGUGCAGUGUUUUUUCUUGCACUCAAGACAACAUCCUUUUGAUAAAGGAGUGCUGCUGGCAAUAAAAAGGUUUUUGACCACAACUUUUGAAUUACUUUCUGUUUGCUGAGGGUUACAUUUGCAAUGGUUUAAGGAAAGGAAAGGAAAGGAAAACCUUUCAUCUUUGUUCAACCUUUUUUCCUUUUUCUCAUUUUUGAUAUGGGGAUUGGAGAAAAUGCCAAGUCUUUGGUCAAUCCACACCCAAUUAUUUCAACUUUACAACUUUCUUUGAUUUUACUUUAAUAAUGCAUGAGGCACUGACUAGAAUCAAAGUAAUUGGCUUGAUAUUAUAUGGUUCAAACAUAAAGGACCCUUGAGAUCAACCAAUAGCCCGUAGUUUAGAGCCUCUUGAACUAGUAAUCUCAUGAUUCCCCCAAAAAAAUCUCUCUCAAUAGAUUGAGAUGGACUAUCCUCUACUGUCAAAUGCUGUGGUAUUGGUCCCAUUUAUUUGACUGUUCAAACAUAUCAAAUUAAGCAGUAAUCAGUAAAUUCAUCUCCAUAAACAUAGGAAUAUCUCAGGAUUUUAAGUGGAGUAAGUACGAUCGGCCCCCACCGGCUGAAAUCAAGGUACAAUUAGUACAAUUAGGGGUAAGAAGAUUCAAAUCUUCUGAAUUAGAACUUCAAAUCAAUUAGAUGUUAUGGAUUAAACCUCAAAUCAGAUGAGAAAUUAACUGAAAGUCUAAGAUGAAAGAAAACCUUCAAAUGCCUCACUUUGCAUUAUUUUUUCACUUUGCUGAUUUGUUUGAUUGUGCUUUUGGUGUUGCCUCAGCCACUACUUAUUACACAGAUCCAACACCUUGAUCUUUUAUAAAUCUGUGUAGGAAUCCAUAUCCGAUCUGUAACCCAUUAGACUCUUUCUUUUUUAGAUAAUGGGUCUUUCAUGGACCCAUCCAUAGGAAAUGUAAAUUUGUUGUCAAAAGAUGGAUAUGUUUGCUUUGCUAUAUUAUGUAACCUUUCACAUGUCAUACUCAGACAGCAUUUUCUCUCUCUCUACCCAAGGAAAAAAAAACACCCAACAAAAGAUUAAGAGAGAAAUUAGUGGAUAUGUUAAUGGUGGUUAGUGAGGUUAAAAUUCUAUUCCAUCUCUCUCUCUCUCUCUCUCUCUCUCUCUCUGUUUUGUUAAUGGCAAUUGAGCCAUAUGGCAUUUUCUCUCUCUAAAAAGAUUUGCAGGUUGGUGGAAGCUGAGCAAAGAAAUUCAGAUUCUAUUACGUGGGAGGGUUGGAUAAUGCAUCCUCCUUCUACGCUUUGUACUUGACAGGUUAUUCCAUGGGAAGGGAAUAUAAUCCUCUGAUUAUUUUCUUUUUCUUUCUUACCAAACAAACAGAUGUUGGGAUUUUCUUCUAUAAUAUUCACUUGAUAGCCAUUGGGGAAAAAAGAAGAAAAAAGAAAUGCUCUUUUGGGUAAUUUCCAUGUCUCUUAUUUGGUGGUUUCUUCUUCCCCUCAAGUUGUCAUUCCUAUGACAUUUCUUAAUCAAAUUGUAUUUCUUAUU